AUUGAACGCUGGCGGCAUGCCUUACACAUGCAAGUCGAACGGCAGCAUGAUCUAGCUUGCUAGAUUGAUGGCGAGUGGCGAACGGGUGAGUAAUACAUCGGAACGUGCCCUGUAGUGGGGGAUAACUAGUCGAAAGAUUAGCUAAUACCGCAUACGACCUGAGGGUGAAAGUGGGGGACCGCAAGGCCUCAUGCUAUAGGAGCGGCCGAUGUCUGAUUAGGUAGUUGGUGGGGUAAAGGCCCACCAAGGCGACGAUCAGUAGCUGGUCUGAAGGCACGAUCAGCCACACUGGACCUUAGGAACGGCCCAGACUCCUACGGGAGGCAGCAGUGAGGAAUUUUGGACAAUGGGGGCAACCCUGAUCCAGCAAUGCCGCGUGUGUGAAGAAGGCCUUCGGGUUGUAAAGCACUUUUGUCCGGAAAGAAAUCGCACUUACUAAUAUUAGGUGUGGAUGACGGUACCGGAAGAAUAAGGACCGGCUAACUACGUGCCAGCCGCCGCAGUAA
This 506-nucleotide ribosomal RNA is filed under the name uncultured bacterium. RNAcentral's name for it is "partial 16S ribosomal RNA". It matches the Rfam family "Bacterial small subunit ribosomal RNA", at positions 30 to 523 of the family's 1533-position model. The record is from RNAcentral.